This 495-nucleotide ribosomal RNA is filed under the name uncultured bacterium. Its description in RNAcentral is "partial 16S ribosomal RNA". It matches the Rfam family "Bacterial small subunit ribosomal RNA", at positions 28 to 507 of the family's 1533-position model. The record is from RNAcentral.
GACGAACGCUGGCGGCGUGCCUAAUACAUGCAAGUAGAACGCUGAAGGAGGAGCUUGCUUCUCUGGAUGAGUUGCGAACGGGCGAGUAACGCGUAGGUAACCUGCCUGGUAGCGGGGGAUAACUAUUGGAAACGAUAGCUAAUACCGCAUAACAGUAGAUAUCGCAUGAUAUCUACUUGAAAGGUGCAAUUGCAUCACUACCAGAUGGACCUGCGUUGUAUUAGCUAGUUGGUGAGGUAACGGCUCACCAAGGCGACGAUACAUAGUCGACCUGAGAGGGUGAUCGGCCACACUGGGACUGAGACACGGCCCAGACUCCUACGGGAGGCAGCAGUAGGGAAUCUUCGGCAAUGGACGGAAGUCUGACCGAGCAACGCCGCGUGAGUGAAGAAGGUUUUCGGAUCGUAAAGCUCUGUUGUAAGAGAAGAACGAGUGUGAGAGUGGAAAGUUCACACUGUGACGGUAUCUUACCAGAAAGGGACGGCUAACUACGUG